CCUACGGGUGGCAGCAGUGGGGAAUAUUGGACAAUGGGGGGAACCCUGAUCCAGCGACGCCGCGUGAGUGAAGAAGUCUCUCGGUAUGUAAAGCUCUAUCAGCAGGGAAGAAAGAAAUGACGGUACCUGACUAAGAAGCCCCGGCUAACUACGUGCCAGCAGCCGCGGUAAUACGUAGGGGGCAAUCGUUAUCCGGAUUUACUGGGUGUAAAGGGAGCGUAGACGGCUGAGCAAGUCCGAAGUGAAAGGCGGGGGCCCAACCCCCGGACUGCCUUUGAACCUGUAUAGCUAGAGUGCGGGAGAGGUAAGUGGAAUGCCUGGUGUAGCGGUGAAAUGCGUAGAUAUUAGGAGGAACACCAGUGGCGAAGGCGGCUUACUGGACUGUAACUGACGUUGAGGCUCGAAAGCGUGGGGAGCAAACAGGAUUAGAUACCCGAGUAGUC
Molecule: ribosomal RNA, 443 nt
Filed under: uncultured bacterium
Lineage: Bacteria
Description: partial 16S ribosomal RNA
Rfam family: Bacterial small subunit ribosomal RNA
Source: RNAcentral